GAAGGAGGCUCCAUCACAAAUAGGCCAACAACUACCAUUUGAGAGGGAAGAUUGAGAUCGAGAAAGGGCAUGUUAAGGUGAGAAAAGAAACAGCCUUGUUCAAGGAAAUGGAAAAUUUCAUCCUACUUUUUCCUCUGCCUUUGAAAAUUUUACUGUUUAUAAAACCACUUCAGUUUCCAGCCGGCGCUUUUGGGAUAUGUUUGAAAUGCUGUAUGAUUUUACUUUGAAUCUCAACAAACAGGAAGGUACUUUUGUAAUAUUCAAGUUAUGGCCUGAUCUCAACUUUCGUUCACGAUCUAUAUCCGUUGAUUCACUGGACUUUGUUGGUCGUUACAGAUUCUUGAAGGACCCAACAGCCACCUGCAUUUCAGGUAAAGCUAAAAGGGAACUGUGUAUCAUCACAAGAAGCAAAUUCAAGAUCGUUUUCAUGUUCAAUAGUUCUGAGCUGUUGUAUCACUCUUUGUCCAGGGUUUAAUUUGUUCCCAUAACUGUGUUAUGUGAUUCAAAUAGAGUUCAAGCCGCUUUAUAUUGGUAAAAAAAAAUAUCCCACCCUAAAAAUAUCCCACCAUUGAAGACCAUUUUGUUCUUAUUUGUCCAUAUUUUGAGCUGCUCUAAUGUGUCGGUAUUUCUUGUCCUUUUCUUUUGGUUCUAUCCAUAUUUCUUUUUUCAUUUUCGAGGUAGAGCCGAUGAGAUAUCUUUGAGUGAAAAUCUAUGGAGGAUUUGUUAACAUGUGCUUGGUCGGGAUCCAAUUUGUUAGUUUCUCAAGUAUAUUUCUUGAUGUUGUUAUGCUUUACUUUAUAGGCUUUUGCGUUUGCAUUUGAAUUUUUUUUGAUGGCAUGAAAUUUGGUGUUUGAAUGCGAAGAGUGCAAUAUAAAUUUUCCCCAAGAUGGAUUCGUGAGACUAUAGAUUUGGGAAGUUCCCAAUCCUCUGCUCAGAUCGAAUAGAUAAGUUGAGUGCUUUUGAUAAGUUGAGCACAUUGUUAUUUUUGACUGGGUUUUGUCUGUGCUGCAG
Molecule: long non-coding RNA, 1011 nt
Filed under: Fragaria vesca (wild strawberry)
Lineage: Eukaryota; Viridiplantae; Streptophyta; Magnoliopsida; Rosales; Rosaceae
Description: long non-coding RNA (FVES_LNC002653)
Source: RNAcentral